Molecule: unclassified non-coding RNA, 3575 nt
Filed under: Rhagoletis pomonella (apple maggot)
Lineage: Eukaryota; Metazoa; Arthropoda; Insecta; Diptera; Tephritidae
Description: wD repeat-containing protein 48 homolog, transcript variant X2
Source: RNAcentral
CGAAGAGAAGACCGUGGAAGAAGGACGAUUAGUGAAAAUUUGUUUAAAAAUUAAAAUUUGUCUUAUUUUUGAUGUAAAAAGUAUCUGCAGCUCAACAAAAAUUGGUAUUACAAGUGACACGCUAUAAAUGUAUGAAUCGUGCGGAUUUCUUUCGGCCUCCACAGGUUAUCUUUGCAGAAGGCAGUAGGGAACGGGCACAACGACAUUUUCCUCCUUAGCCGACAGUCCAUCUCAAUAUAAAUUAGACACAAUCAUAUUUCAAUUAUAACAACACGGAAAUCCAUACAAGAAUCAUCAUUAACUAGGAUUAGUGGAGGCAGACAUGUUAACUCACAAAGGUUGCCAAGGAGGACGCAAGAAAAUGCAGGUAUCUUUUGUCAUACGAGACGCAGAGGAGAAGCAACAUAGAAAUGGUGUUAAUGCAUUGCAACUAGAUCCCAACAACGGCAAGCUCUAUUCAGCUGGACGCGAUGCUAUUAUUCGUGUAUGGAAUACAACAAAAGAAUCAACUGAGAAAUAUAUACAAUCAAUGGAGCACCACAAUGAUUGGGUUAAUGAUAUAGUGCUGUGUUGCAAUGGCAGAAAUUUAAUUAGCGCCAGCUGUGAUACCACCGUUAAGGUGUGGAAUGCCCACAAAGGCUUCUGCAUGUCAACGUUACGUACACAUCGUGACUACGUCCAAGCAUUAGCUUAUGCCAGGGAUCGAGAGCAAGUGGCAAGUGCAGGACUAGACAAGGCGAUUUUCCUUUGGGACGUAAAUACGCUAACCGCACUGACUGCCAGCAACAACACCGUUACAACCUCUAGUCUCACCGGUUCCAAGGAUUCCAUAUACAGUCUGGCUAUGAAUCCUUCAGGUACGGUUAUUGUUAGCGGUUCCACAGAGAAUAUAUUGCGCAUUUGGGAUCCACGCACCUGUACACGUAGCAUGAAACUGCGAGGUCACACAGAAAAUGUACGUGCACUGGUCGUGUCACCUGACGGUAAUCAAGUGGUCUCCGGCAGUUCAGAUGGCACAAUCAAAGUGUGGAAUCUGGGCCAGCAACGAUGCAUACAAACAAUACACGUACAUAAAGAAGGCGUCUGGGCGCUUUUGAUGAGCGAAAACUUCCAGUAUGUGAUUUCGGGCAGUCGUGAUAAGAAUAUUAUUGUAACAGAGUUGCGUAACCCUAGCAACUCGGUAUUGGUUUGUGAGGAGCGCGCGCCCGUGCUCAGUCUUGGAUAUAACAUUGAUAAGACAGGCGUUUGGGCAACCACCUGGAAUUCGGAUAUACGAUGCUGGAAAUUGCCACUCUAUGAUAAAUGUACAUUGACGUCUAGUGGUGGCAUGGAUGCACAAUGGGCGAUAGCAUCCAACACGGAGUUGACCUGCUUCAAAGGUGGCGCGGCAGUAAAGAAAUGCUGUGUCUUGAAUGAUAAACGUUAUAUUGUAACCAAGGACACUGAGGAAAAUGUUGCGAUCUAUGAUGUCCUGCGUGUUAUGAAGAAGGAAGAUUUAGGCAAAGUGGAUUUCGACGAUGAGUUAAAGAAACGUAAUAAACAAGUAUACAUUCCAAACUGGUUUACGGUAGACUUGAAAACCGGAAUGCCAACUAUUGUAUUAGGACAGGAUGAAGUAGAUUGCUUUGCAGCAUGGGUAUCCAUAGAGGCUGGUCUUCCAGAAUGCGCGGAACCAACGUCGGAGACUAAGAUAAAUUACGGAAAAUUAUUGCUGGAAGCACUAUUAGAAUACUGGACUCCUCCACACAGCUUGCCGCAAAGCGAGCUAGAACCUGAUAGUCGUGGCAACGGUUACUUUCAAGUACCUAAACAUACACCAGUUAUAUUUAGUGAGGUUGGUGGUCGUACAGUAUGCCGGCUUUUGGUACGCGAUGCAGCUGGUGAGAGCGAGAGUACAUUACUGCAUGAAACCGUGCCACAAUGGGUCACGGAUGUGGUGAUCGAAAAGACUAUACCGAAGUUUUUGAAAAUUCCCUUCUUCCUGCAGCCACAUCCACAAAUGAUUAAGCCAGAACGUACCAAAAAGGACCGACUAGUUGCCAACGAAUUUAUACAGUGUCGCAAGGUGUGCGAACACGUACUGGAAAAAGUACUCGGUGCAGAGACAACUCCUAGCGGUGGGAACGCUUCAAAUUCCUCGCAAAAUAGUCAAAGUGAUGCGAAUUCCGAGGGCUCGCAAGUACCUGCCGAAGAUCGAAUUGAAUUAUGGUGCAACGAUGUUGUGGUUGAUCCUAAUAUGGAUUUGCGAACAGUGCGUCACUUCAUCUGGAAACAGUCGACCGAUUUGACUUUCCAAUACAAGACAAAGCCAAAUUUUAGCUACGAUGGUAAACUAUGAGCACACACAACAGUCGAAAUGUGAUCAUAACAACAUUUGCAACAACAUAUUUAUACAGAGAAAACGCUUCUCUUCAUAUAUCCAUCUUAAACACCGCAGCUCAGCUUAUCAAGUAAGCCGUGGGAAGUAACGGAUGCGCUUGCGCUCUGGCCUUAACGUGGAUGAGUACAAUUUAAGCUUAAUUAGUUUUCGUUCUUGCUUCACGCCGCCAGUUUAUACAUUUCAACCGAAUAUUUCUGAAUUGAAUGUUUUUUUGUUUGUUUUCCAAAAGAAAAUGCCGAUAUUUCGAUACAUGACCAACAGAAUACAGAAUUAUCAUCGAAUUAGUAACAAUUGUAUUAAUCUCUGUUUUGAUUCUGCAAUAUUACUUUUCCUGUUUCUUUUUUUAUAUGUUUAGUACGAAAUAUUUAAGUGUGGCGAUUUAUAGCACUUAUUAAAAUUUUGCAUUUAAACGAGGUGUCGUAUGUAUUUGUGUAUGAAGCUAGUAGCAAUUUUAUUUUGCUGUUACAAGCAGUGUUGUUGUAGUAAAGUGCAUAUACGCUAGAAUCAUAAAUAUUCUGUUAGAAGUAAAAACAUUUUGGAUUGUAAAACAAUAAUAGUGUUCAUAAGUAUCUACCUGCUCUUUUAUGUUUAAAAACUUUGUUUGCAAAAUGUAUUGUAUUAUCUAUACAUAUCUGUGCUUAAGCUUCUCUUUCUCUUCUCUGAGUCGUCCUCCUUGCUCGGACUUUAUUUAUACAUAUAUUGUACGGAUUGUAGCGACAGUUAAGAGAUUAGUCUUGGAUAAUUUAUCUAUAUAAUAUGUAUUAAUGCAUUAAAUGUACGUGGCGCGUAUUAUCUACACGUUAUUUACUUUAACAUAAGUUUAAAGCUGUUCUAUACAAAAUUAUCAUACAUACAUACAUACAUAUAAAACAAAAACAAAAUAAAAUACAAAAUCAAAAAUCUAGCUAAUAUAGUAACAACUAUUAUAUAAUAUUAAAAUCCAUUAAAUUAUAAAGAAGUGAAAAUGUCACACAAGGAAUAUGAGUAAUUACAUUCAUGCCAAUAAACCGAUAAAUUUGUAUAUAAGUCCGGAGUAUGGGUGUUUAUUAUAUGAAUGCACGCAUGGACCUAUUUAUUUGUAGAUGAAUUUGUAUAUACUGGACACGUAUUGGGAAUCAAUGGAAUUUUACCGGAUUUUGAAAUAUUUUAACAGCGUUGCUGGUAACGAUUCCUCCUGAAAGUAUUAACAUUUUAA